RNAcentral lists this transfer RNA (72 nucleotides) under Candidatus Sungiibacteriota bacterium. Its description in RNAcentral is "tRNA-Ile". It matches the Rfam family "tRNA". From Rfam's summary of the family: Transfer RNA (tRNA) molecules are approximately 80 nucleotides in length. Their secondary structure includes four short double-helical elements and three loops (D, anti-codon, and T loops). Lineage: Bacteria; Candidatus Sungiibacteriota. The record is from RNAcentral.
GGGCAUGUAGCUCAACGGCAGAGCUCCGAGCUUAUACCUCGGCGGUUCCUGGUUCGAAUCCAGGCAUGCCCA